CUAAGUACUAGUGCCGCAGGAGAUAGUUCAAACGACACGUAGUAGACCCCUGCUGCCCCAGUGCUUAUCA
RNAcentral lists this microRNA precursor (70 nucleotides) under Bactrocera dorsalis (oriental fruit fly). Its description in RNAcentral is "microRNA bdo-mir-252 precursor". Its record names the gene bdo-mir-252. It matches the Rfam family "mir-252 microRNA precursor family", at positions 9 to 70 of the family's 77-position model. Lineage: Eukaryota; Metazoa; Arthropoda; Insecta; Diptera; Tephritidae. The record is from miRBase by way of RNAcentral.